This 274-nucleotide ribosomal RNA is filed under the name uncultured bacterium. RNAcentral describes it as "partial 16S ribosomal RNA". It matches the Rfam family "Bacterial small subunit ribosomal RNA", at positions 523 to 796 of the family's 1533-position model. The record is from RNAcentral.
CUACGAAGGUCCCAAGCGUUAUUCGGAAUCACUGGGCGUAAAGAGUACGUAGGCGGUUUGGUAAGUCAGGUGUGAAAUCCCGAAGCUCAACUUCGGAACUGCAUCCGAUACUGCCAGACUUGAGUAAUGGAGAGGCAGGUGGAAUUCUCGGUGUAGCAGUGAAAUGCGUGGAUAUCGAGAGGAAGACCAAUGGCGAAGGCAGCCUGCUGGACAUUUACUGACGCUGAGGUACGAAGGCUAGGGGAGCGAAAGGGAUUAGAAACCCCAGUAGUCC